AUGCCCACCAGGUUCCCACUGUGACCUGGCCCCCAAGGGGCAGGCCCCAGGUGCUGGCCCGGUGGGUUUUGGUCUGACGUUCAGCCACCAUGGUAUAUCUUCAGCAAAGGGACGCAGCUCACCGUCACAGGUGGGCCCAAGUCUGCGCCCUCAGUCACUCUGUUCCCGCCCUCCUCUGAGGAGCUCAGUACCAACAGGGCCACAGUGGUGUGUCUCAUCAGUGACUUCUACCCCAGCAACUUGACAGUGGUCUGGAAGGCGAACGGCACCCCCAUCACCCAGGGCGUGGAGAUCACCAAGCCCUUGAAACAGAGCAACAACAAGUACGCGGCCAGCAGCUACCUGACGCUGUCCCCUGCCACGUGGAAGUCUUACAGCAGCAUCAGCUGCCAGGUCACGCAUGAAGGGAGCACCGUGGAGAAGACAGUGGCCUCCUCACAGUGUUCUUAGGUCCCUGAGCCUGUCCUACCCUCAGGGGCCUGGAGCUGCAGGACACCUGCGAGGUCUCCCUCCAACCCCGUCAUCCUCCCUGCAACCCAAUCCAUUCUCAA
Molecule: non-coding RNA, 551 nt
Organism: Equus quagga
Lineage: Eukaryota; Metazoa; Chordata; Mammalia; Perissodactyla; Equidae
Source: the annotation of a RefSeq genome assembly